Molecule: non-coding RNA, 46 nt
Organism: Schistosoma mattheei
Lineage: Eukaryota; Metazoa; Platyhelminthes; Trematoda; Strigeidida; Schistosomatidae
Source: Rfam
GCACUCCUGAGGAGUCCCAAAAUAGGACGAAACGGCCGUGUAGUGC